CAGCCGCCGCGGUAAUACAGAGGGUGCGAGCGUUAAUCGGAUUUACUGGGCGUAAAGCGUGCGUAGGCGGCUUUUUAAGUCGGAUGUGAAAUCCCUGAGCUUAACUUAGGAAUUGCAUUCGAUACUGGGAAGCUAGAGUAUGGGAGAGGAUGGUAGAAUUCCAGGUGUAGCGGUGAAAUGCGUAGAGAUCUGGAGGAAUACCGAUGGCGAAGGCAGCCAUCUGGCCUAAUACUGACGCUGAGGUACGAAAGCAUGGGGAGCAAACAGGAUUAGAUACCCGGGUAGUCCCUGUCUCUUAUAU
This 301-nucleotide ribosomal RNA is filed under the name uncultured bacterium. RNAcentral's name for it is "partial 16S ribosomal RNA". It matches the Rfam family "Bacterial small subunit ribosomal RNA", at positions 509 to 809 of the family's 1533-position model. The record is from RNAcentral.